UGGGCUGAGAAAUUAAAUAGAGAACUGUUCUAUUGUUUUCCUAUGGAAUUCCCGUAUGUGUAGGUGGACUCUAAGCUGAUAUGACCAGUGUCCUUCUAAGAAGAGGAGAGAGACAUACGUGGAGAGGAUGGCCAUGUGACAAAGGAGGCAGAGAUUGGAUUGAUGUAUCUACAAGCCAAGGAACACCAGGGAUGCUGACAAACACCAGAAGCUAGAAGAUGCAAGGAAAGAGUCUUCCCUACAGCUUUCAGAGGGAGCGCGGCCCUGGUAACACCUUGACUUCAGACUUCUAGCCUUCAGAACUGUGAGACAUGCAGAGACAGCCAGCUGCCAGAACCCAGCUGGUUAGAAUCCUUCCCAGAGGUCGGUGCUCCGUGGAGAACAGAGGCCCUGCCCAGAGAUCAUCAUGGAUCUGUUCACAAUCUGCUGCUGCAGAAAUAGCAGCCAUAUCAAUGUACUCAUGUCCCUGGGGCUGGACAGACUGAUGGGCCCAUCUGCAGGGCAGGAACAGCCGGAAGAGAAAAUUGAGCAAGAAACUAAUGAAGAGCUGGAGGAGAACCAGGAAACAGAGGAUUUGGAAAUAACGUGAAUUUCAAAAGAACAAGUCCAGUUACUCAAUAGGGACGGAAAACCUAUUGGAAACUUUGCGAAGAACGGUCCAACUUCCCAAGCAAAGAGUGUGUCCAUACCUUAAAGAAAUCACAACUGGGCUGCUACAUCUGUUCACAUUGGGACUUCCAUCCUGCCCCCCUCACAGGGGUCUAAGGAAUACGUGGGAAGCCUGUGGAAAGUUCCUCAUGCCUCUUCCGUUUGCCCCUUCCUGGCAUGUGAACAGAAGAGCAAGAUCCAACGUUAACAGAGCAGGGGUCAACCAUAGUCUUCAGGGAGCCCCGUGGGUAGACUUGCUGAAACUUUGAGCACCAGUGCCUUCCUCUUUCCCCUCCAAGGCCCCCAAGGUAUUUCCCAAUCUGCUCUUCACCACCAUAAAAUGAGUCACAUAAUUAACUCAAUUCCAAAGUACUAUUAUCCAAAUCAAUAUAUUGUGACUUUGAGUUAUCAGGAAAUUCAAUAAUUUGCUCCACUUAUUUUUCCAAGGAAAUACUUGACUUUUUUCUUAAAAAAAUCUUUGUCAAUCUUAGGACAUAAGAAAGAUCAUAAUUUUUAAACGUUCUGAAGUGAAGAAUGUAUGUAACCAGUAAAGAAUAGGAAUGAAAUGUAUACCUAAAAACUAGAAGAGGGGGAAAAAUGGCAUAGAAAAGUUGAUUAAUUUAGUAAAAGGCAGGAAAGGAGAAAAUCAAUGACACAAAAUAAGAUGAAAAUAAUUAAAUAUCUCAGUAAUUAUAAUCAUGAAUCAGUUACACUCACCAGUUAAAAGACAAGGGUUGUAAAAAUUAGGUUUUAAUAAAUUCAGCCCUAUACCACUUACAAAAUACACACUUAAAAUGUAAUAACAAAGA
Molecule: long non-coding RNA, 1457 nt
Filed under: Equus caballus (horse)
Lineage: Eukaryota; Metazoa; Chordata; Mammalia; Perissodactyla; Equidae
Description: lncRNA (ENSECAG00000031578.2)
Source: RNAcentral